CACGUAGUUAGCCGGGGCUUCUUGGUCAGGUACCGUCUUUCUUCUUCCCUGCUGACAGAGCUUUACAUACCGAGAUACUUCUUCACUCACGCGGCGUCGCUGCAUCAGGGUUCCCCCCAUUGUGCAAUAUUCCCCACUGCUGCCUCCCGUAGGAGUCUGGGCCGUGUCUCAGUCCCAGUGUGGCCGUCCACCCUCUCAGGCCGGCUGCUGAUCGUCGCUUUGGUGGGCCGUUACCCCGCCAACUGGCUAAUCAGACGCGGGCCCAUCCUGUACCACCGGAGUUUUCAAAGGACCACCAUGCGGUCUUCCUUAUUAUGCGGUAUUAGCACCUAUUUCUAAGUGUUAUCCCCCGGUACAGGGCAGGUUGCCCACGCGUUACUCACCCGUCCGCCACUAAGACAGAUCUUUCCGUUACAGUAAACUGUUACUUCCAGGUCCGUCUCCGUUCGACUUGCAUGUGUUAGGCACGCCGCCAGCGUUCAUCCUGAGCCAGGAUCAAACUCU
This 504-nucleotide ribosomal RNA is filed under the name uncultured Lachnospiraceae bacterium. Its description in RNAcentral is "partial 16S ribosomal RNA". Lineage: Bacteria; Bacillati; Bacillota; Clostridia; Lachnospirales; Lachnospiraceae. The record is from RNAcentral.